UGGAUAUCCUUUUUUUUUUUUUUUUUUUUAAUUUCCUUUCUUGUUUUUAAUUUUGUUUUGGUUGCUGAAAUGAAAUAGUUUUCUAACCCCUCCCCCACCCUGGUUUUUCAUAAUCACUCGGAUUUCCAGCUGGAUAGUCUUUGAGGAUACAACGAUUCAAACUCCAGAAGGAC
RNAcentral lists this long non-coding RNA (173 nucleotides) under Junco hyemalis (dark-eyed junco). Its description in RNAcentral is "lncRNA (ENSJHYG00000011017.1)". Lineage: Eukaryota; Metazoa; Chordata; Aves; Passeriformes; Passerellidae. The record is from RNAcentral.